RNAcentral lists this ribosomal RNA (381 nucleotides) under uncultured Pelotomaculum sp. RNAcentral describes it as "bacterial SSU rRNA". It matches the Rfam family "Bacterial small subunit ribosomal RNA", at positions 1003 to 1382 of the family's 1533-position model. Lineage: Bacteria; Bacillati; Bacillota; Clostridia; Eubacteriales; Desulfotomaculaceae. The record is from RNAcentral.
AAACGACGGUUUCCUCUUCGGAGGCACCUGCACGAGGUGCUGCAUGGGCUGUCGUCAGCUCGUGUCGUGAGAUGUUGGGUUAAGUCCCGCAACGAGCGCAACCCCUACGUUUAGUUGCUAACACGUGAAGGCGAGCACUCUAGACGAGCUGCCGUUGACAAAACGGAGGAAGGUGGGAUGACGUCAAAUCAUCAUGCCCCUUAUGUUCUGGGCUACACACGUGCUACAAUGGCCGGUACAGACGGACGCAAAGCCGCGAGGUGGAGCAAAUCCUAAAAAGCCGGUCUCAGUUCGGAUUGCAGGCUGCAAUUCGCCUGCAUGAAGUCGGAAUCGCUAGUAAUCGCAGGUCAGCAUACUGCGGUGAAUACGUUCCCGGGCCUU